This 72-nucleotide transfer RNA is filed under the name Camelus bactrianus (Bactrian camel). It matches the Rfam family "tRNA". From Rfam's summary of the family: Transfer RNA (tRNA) molecules are approximately 80 nucleotides in length. Lineage: Eukaryota; Metazoa; Chordata; Mammalia; Artiodactyla; Camelidae. The record is from Rfam by way of RNAcentral. RNAcentral also lists the same sequence under 2 other names.
GAGAGUGUAGCUCAGGGGUGGAGCACAUACUUAGCAUGCAUGAGGUCCCGGGUUCCAUCCCCAGCACCUCCA